UCAUCAGCACUUGCUGUUUUUCACCUUCCUAGUUUUUGCCAAGCAGAUAAGCCAGUAUUCCUGUGUGGUUCUAAUUUCUCUGAUUAAUGGUGAGGACAAAGAUUUCUUUAUAGACUUAAUAGCCUUCUAUGAAUUGCCUUUUUGUGUGUCUUGCUUAUUUUCCUAUUGGAUUUCCUGUAUUUUUCUUACUGAUUGUAGGAGUUGCUUGUGUAUUGGAUAACAAGCCCAUUUAUUCGUAAAUAAAGGAAGCUUUGUAAUGGCCAAAGCCCUUUAGCCUGUUAAAGCAGAACUGUCACCAUUGUAUAUUAUUUUAUUUUGAAUGGGUCAUACAUAUGUAUAAAACAUACACGUAAAAUGUGAAUAAUAGUUAUAAAUAAAGACUCAGGUGCCACUGCUCCAGUGAUGGCCUCAACACCAUUUAUUAUUCGUCUCCGACUGGAGAUGUCACCUUUAGCAUACACUAUGGACAUCUGUAUACUUAGAUCUAUUUCUGGACUUUCUAUUUAAUUUUCCAUUUUUGGAUGUCGUUAUCAAGAAUGAAUGUUGAUUUUUUUUCCAAUGCCUUUUCAGCUUAGAUGGAGAUGGUCAUACGACUUUUCUCCUCCUGCUGAAUCACUCUUUGCCUGCCUGGAAUAAGCUCCCUUUGAUCAUGUUAUCUCAUUAUUUUAAUGUGCUGUGGAACUCUUCUGGCUGUUAUUUAACUUAGGAUUGUCCCUCAACAUCUCAGGUUGGUGGGCAUCGCAAGAUGUUCCUGUCUUCAAAGAAUUGCCCUUGGCCAAAUGGAAGCAGCCUGGGCCAAUCAAUCAUUUACACAUUCCCAACUGGAGACAGCUCACAACUCAUAACUUGCUGGCAUGGGAGCGCAGAGGUCUAGCCCUUGGCUUCAAGUCAAGACUUUUCUCUACUGUGAUCCUCCCUGGGUCUUUCUUCAAGUUUCUAAGAAGGUACUAGGAAACAGACUUCUCAUUAAGAAAAGAAUAACAUUCCCAGACCCUAUUUCCUUCAACGGCUUAACUACAGUUCCUUCUCUUCUUCAAGGCAAGAGGACACUCAGUUACAAACUCAUGGAAGGAGCAGAAAAACUACCACUAUUGAAGACCUACCAUGUGGGAGCUGUGGACACUGUAGACCCAGAUGUGAAGCCCACUCAGUUUCUUACUAUGUAUCAUCAACAAGUCGCUUGAUAACCUCUCUGAUAUCUCAUUGAUAAAAUGGAAAUAAGAGUGUCAUCUAGCUAAGUUGAGUGAAGAGUAAAAAUAAUAUAUGUAAGGCUGGGUGCAGUGGCUCACACCUAUAAUCCCAGCACUUUGGGAGGCUGAGGCAGAAGAAUUGCUUGAGCUCAGGAGUUCAAGACUAGCCUGGGCAGCAUGAUGAAAAAAUUUUUUAAAAUUUUUUAAAAAUUAUCCAGGAGUAGUGGUGCACACUUGUAGUCCCAGCUCCUCAGGAGACUGAAGUGGGAGGAUCACCUGAGCCUGGGUAGUUGGGGCUGCAGUGAGCCAAAGCAAGACUCUGUCUCAAAAAAAAAAAAAAAUGUGUGUGUGUGUGUGUGUGUUAAGCAUAGAACAACCAUUCCAUAAAUAUAACCAACUUUUCUGCAAAGAACUUCUCAGCAUUAUCCCAUUUAAUCUUCACAACCACCCUGAGAAAGGAGGCAUUAUUCUUAUUUUUACAUUUUAGAAAGCAGACUACUCAUAAAUACAUUGCACAAUUUGUAAGUAAACCACCUUAGAUCUGAACCCCAGUGUGACUGAUUCCAAAGUCCAUGCUCAGUUUACUGUGGCAUACCGUCAUGCAAAGUGCAUAGGAACAGGAAAGACAGCCUCUGGACCAAACUAAGGUCAAAAUGACUCUGUAUCUAAUGGCUCAAAGAACACUUGUUGAUCUAACCUGAAUUUUAAGGAUGUCAUUUGUGUCUUCUUAAUAAAUGAUAGAAUAAUUUGAAAUGACAUUUUCAUUAUCACCUCAAACCAUAAUGCCAAAUGACUGCUGGUGACAUGUUGAUUACUAUGCUGUUACACUGACGGAUCUUUUUUCACCUAUCUUCUUCCAUAGCUGGUACUGACAUCAUCACCACCACUGACGUCACCACUAGCACUGCUGGUAUUAAAUAAUGUCGAUGACAGACCUAAAAAUCUUUAUUAUCAGGUCAGUGAUACUUUGCUUUUAAGGCAAAUUAUGUAGGCUAAAGUUUUGGCUUUAAAAACCCAUCAACCAAGAAUUAGAAGGUACAUUUCAAUUCCCAGAUUUCAGGAGAAUGUUAACAUGGUCAUUUCACAGAUGAGAGAACUCAGCCUCAGUGAUUCUAAGUAUUUCUGAAAACCUCAUGCUCACAGUUCUCUGAGACUCAAAUCUGAAAAUCAUUAGCCAGGCUACUGUAAGCUAUCUUAAUGGCUGUGGUUGUAGAUGAGGGAGAGAAAAACUUCUAACAAAAAUGGGUCACAAACUAUCUAGGCUUGAUUUAAUCAGUUAUGUAAAUUAGCUUCAGACCCACGAAGUAAGCCCAUGAAGAAAAAAUAAUCAGGCUAGGUGGAAAAAUAAAUGACCAUAUGCAGACAUAUUUUAAAUUAAAGUAUAUUUUAAAGGCACAGCGAUCUGUACAUUGCAACCUUUAGCUGCACACAAUAGAAGCCAAAUAAGCAUUUGAGGAAGGGAGGGAGGGAGAGAAGGAGGGAAGGAAGGAGAGAGGGAGGGAGGGAGGCUGUCAGUAUUCACUGAUGGCCAGUGCAUCACUUCUAACCCUAAGAAGAAUAUGAAGAAAUGGUGAAAAAUUGUUAAUUCCAAUGUUGUAGGGCUUAAUCAUUUUUAACUGAUCUGCAGUCCUGGCAUGCAGCAUGAAUUCAAUUUGCCACCAAAUUUGAAUGUACAACUCUCUGGAAAAAAGAUCACUAAAGAUUACAAAGCAUAGUGUAAUCUUGUCUAUUCUCAUAAAAGCUGUUCAAUCAACACUCUUUUUCAAAAGCAAUCAAACAAACCUAGUUGAGUUCAACCAAAAGAAUGAGGGCCCUGCCCCCAGCAAUGUGGCUACUAUAAUGAGGUAAUGACCUUCACACACACACGCACGCACACACUAUUGUUUGAAGACACUGGUUAACUGUAAAGUACUAUCAUGGGAGUUUUAACCCUCAGGGGACUCACUAGUGGUUUGGCCUGAAGCUGCGCACUAUGCAAAUUUAAGGUGGUGUGUGUUGUUGUUGUUGUUGUUGUUGUCAUUGCUAUCAAAUAUGAUUCAAUAAAACCACAAUCACAUCACGAAGUGAUGCAUGGUUAACCCAAAGUGCACAGAUAGCAUCCACCAGGCCAGCACAGAACAAAGCUCUUUAUCGAGAAAUAACUUUCCUGAACAGCAAAGUCCUUCGCAUACCUAUGAAGUGCUCGGUAAUGUUUGAAAAACAGACCUAAGCUGAAGCACUCCCUGACUCUCCAUGGAGCCUUCUUCAAACAUCUCACGGACAAGGCAGCAUAAUAAGAACAAUACAAAUAGUAACAGGUACUAUUUGUUCACACCAACUAUUGUAAUAAGUUAAACAUGCUAAUCAUUUUACAUCCAUCACUUCAUUUCAUCCCUACAACAAAUUUAUGAAGUCUAUACUGUCAUUAUUCUCAUUUCACAUAGGAGGGAACUGAGGCUCAGAUAUGUCAUUUGCCCAAAGGCAAACAACAGAUAGUAAGCAAUAAGAAUGAGCUUCCAACCAGAUUUCUGUAACUGCAAUAACUGUGCUCUUAACCACACGUGAGGCUUUAAUGUCCCUAUCGCCCCUUCAUGUCAGAGAAAGAAAUAUAAUCACAAAGUGGUGAAUAAGCAGUUAAAAGAAUGGCUGACAGUCCCAGGUUCCCUUGCGUUUGAAAAACCCAGGUUAUUAAAUCUGCCUUUUGUAACUGGGAAUUCCACAGGACAUGCAAAUCCAUGGGUUGCAAUUAAUAUACAUUCACACAAAAGCGUCCAG
Molecule: long non-coding RNA, 3944 nt
Organism: Callithrix jacchus (white-tufted-ear marmoset)
Lineage: Eukaryota; Metazoa; Chordata; Mammalia; Primates; Cebidae
Source: Ensembl